Molecule: ribosomal RNA, 253 nt
Filed under: uncultured bacterium
Lineage: Bacteria
Description: partial 16S ribosomal RNA
Rfam family: Bacterial small subunit ribosomal RNA
Source: RNAcentral
UACGUAGGGGGCGAGCGUUGUCCGGAAUCAUUGGGCGUAAAGCGCGUGUAGGCGGCUCGAUAAGUCCGGUGUGAAACCUUGGGGCUCAACCCCAAGCCUGCACUGGAUACUGCCGAGCUAGAGUCCGGGAGGGGAGAGCGGAAUUCCUAGUGUAGCGGUGAAAUGCGCAGAUAUCGGGAAGAACACCCGUGGCGAAGGCGGUUCUCUGGGACGGUACUGACGCUGAGACGCGAAAGCGUGGGGAGCGAACAGG